AUGGAGGGGCUCCUGUAGAAGCUGAAGGGGCUCGACGCCUACCCCAAGGUCAAUGAGGACUUCUACAAGCGCACGCUCUCUAGCGGCAUCGCCAGGCUCGUCUCUGCCCUCAUCAUGCUACUCAUCUUCGUCUCUGAAACAAGUAAGUGAGGCUUCUCCUCCUCUGCAGCCUGCAAUGGCAUCGCCGUAAUGCAGAAUCGAGGUCCACAGAAAACACCUCCAAUUAUACUACUACUUGCUAGGUGUCUUUAG
RNAcentral lists this ribosomal RNA (252 nucleotides) under Triticum aestivum (bread wheat). RNAcentral describes it as "partial small subunit ribosomal RNA". Lineage: Eukaryota; Viridiplantae; Streptophyta; Magnoliopsida; Poales; Poaceae. The record is from RNAcentral.